This 437-nucleotide ribosomal RNA is filed under the name uncultured bacterium. RNAcentral describes it as "bacterial SSU rRNA". It matches the Rfam family "Bacterial small subunit ribosomal RNA", at positions 69 to 488 of the family's 1533-position model. The record is from RNAcentral.
AUUUACUUCGGUGUUGACGUCUUGAAAGCGAGCGUUGGAUGGGUGAGUAACACGUGGGGAACCUGCCCCAUAGUCUGGGAUACCACUUGUAAACAGGUGCUAAUACCGGAUAAGAAAGCAGAUCGCAUGAUCAGCUUUUAAAAGGCGGCGUAAGCUGUCGCUAUGGGAUGGCCCCGCGGUGCAUUACCUAGUUGGAUAGGUAAAGGCUUACCAAGGCGAUGAUGCAUAGCCGAGUUGAGAGACUGAUCUGCCACUUUGGGACUGAGACACGGCCCAAACUCCUACUGGAGGCAGCAGUAGGGAAUCUUCCAUAAUGGACUCAAGUCUGAUGGAGCAGCUUCGCGUGAGUGAAGAAGGUUUUCGGAUCUUAAAGCUCUGUUGUUGGUGAAAAAGGAUAGAGGUAUUAUUUGUCCUUUAUUUGACGGUAUCAACCACAA